RNAcentral lists this ribosomal RNA (253 nucleotides) under uncultured bacterium. RNAcentral's name for it is "partial 16S ribosomal RNA". It matches the Rfam family "Bacterial small subunit ribosomal RNA", at positions 524 to 776 of the family's 1533-position model. The record is from RNAcentral.
UACAGAGGUCUCAAGCGUUGUUCGGAUUCAUUGGGCGUAAAGGGUGCGUAGGCGGCGGAGCAAGUCAGGUGUGAAAUCCCGGGGCUCAACCCUGGAACUGCACUUGAUACUGCUUUGCUAGAGUACUGGAGAGGAGACUGGAAUUCCUGGUGUAGCAGUGAAAUGCGUAGAUAUCAGGAGGAACACCGAUGGCGAAGGCAGGUCUCUGGGCUGACACUGACGCUCAUGCCCGAAAGCGUGGGGAGCAAACAGG